GGGCAAUGGGCGCAAGCCUGACCCAGCAACGCCGCGUGAAGGAAGAAGGCUUUCGGGUUGUAAACUUCUUUUGACAGGGAAGAGUAGAAGACGGUACCUGUCGAAUAAGCCACGGCUAACUACGUGCC
RNAcentral lists this ribosomal RNA (128 nucleotides) under uncultured bacterium. RNAcentral's name for it is "partial 16S ribosomal RNA". It matches the Rfam family "Bacterial small subunit ribosomal RNA", at positions 366 to 509 of the family's 1533-position model. The record is from RNAcentral.